AACGCACAUUGCGCCUGCCAGUAUUCUGGCGGGCAUGCCUGUUCGAGCGUCAUUUCAACCCUCAAGCCCCUCCGGGCUUGGUGUUGGGGCUCGGCCCCCCGCUCACCGAGCGCGGCCGGCUCUGAAAACUAGUGGCGGUCUCGCUGCAGCCUCCCCUGCGUAGUAGCACAUCUCGCACUGGAGCGCGGCGCGGCCACGCCGUCAAAACCGUUGCCCCCCGGGCAAGCUUCAUAAGGUUGACCUCGGAUCAGGUAGGGAUACCCGCUGAACUUAA
RNAcentral lists this unclassified non-coding RNA (274 nucleotides) under Phomopsis sp. Its description in RNAcentral is "partial contains 5.8S ribosomal RNA, internal transcribed spacer 2, and large subunit ribosomal RNA". Lineage: Eukaryota; Fungi; Ascomycota; Sordariomycetes; Diaporthales; Diaporthaceae. The record is from RNAcentral.